AAACAAUGAUUGGGGCAUUUUCUCAAUAGCAUUUGAAAAUGCUCCUAAGCUUCAUAGAAUGUUUCAUCUAUGCCUUGUCUGAAAAUGGAUAUUUCAAAUAUGGCAU
Molecule: small nucleolar RNA, 106 nt
Filed under: Lupinus angustifolius (narrow-leaved blue lupine)
Lineage: Eukaryota; Viridiplantae; Streptophyta; Magnoliopsida; Fabales; Fabaceae
Description: Plant small nucleolar RNA R71
Rfam family: Plant small nucleolar RNA R71
About the family: R71 is a member of the C/D box family of snoRNAs containing the C (UGAUGA) and D (CUGA) box motifs. Multiple nearly identical copies of this snoRNA have been identified in Arabidopsis, and it is thought to function as a 2'-O-ribose methylation guide for 18S ribosomal RNA.
Source: Rfam by way of RNAcentral